Molecule: ribosomal RNA, 1444 nt
Filed under: uncultured organism
Description: SSU rRNA
Rfam family: Bacterial small subunit ribosomal RNA
Source: RNAcentral
GGCUCAGGAUGAACGCUAGCUACAGGCUUAACACAUGCAAGUCGAGGGGCAUCAGGAAGAAAGCUUGCUUUCUUUGCUGGCGACCGGCGCACGGGUGAGUAACACGUAUCCAACCUGCCCUUUACUCGGGGAUAGCCUUUCGAAAGAAAGAUUAAUACCCGAUAGCAUAAUGAUUCCGCAUGGUUUCAUUAUUAAAGGAUUCCGGUAAAGGAUGGGGAUGCGCUCCAUUAGGUUGUUGGUGAGGUAACGGCCCACCAAGCCUUCGAUGGAUAGGGGUUCUGAGAGGAAGGUCCCCCACAUUGGAACUGAGACACGGUCCAAACUCCUACGGGAGGCAGCAGUGAGGAAUAUUGGUCAAUGGGCGCUAGCCUGAACCAGCCAAGUAGCGUGAAGGAUGAAGGCUCUAUGGGUCGUAAACUUCUUUUAUAUAAGAAUAAAGUGCAGUAUGUAUACUGUUUUGUAUGUAUUAUAUGAAUAAGGAUCGGCUAACUCCGUGCCAGCAGCCGCGGUAAUACGGAGGAUCCGAGCGUUAUCCGGAUUUAUUGGGUUUAAAGGGAGCGUAGGUGGACUGGUAAGUCAGUUGUGAAAGUUUGCGGCUCAACCGUAAAAUUGCAGUUGAUACUGUCAGUCUUGAGUACAGUAGAGGUGGGCGGAAUUCGUGGUGUAGCGGUGAAAUGCUUAGAUAUCACGAAGAACUCCGAUUGCGAAGGCAGCUCACUGGACUGCAACUGACACUGAUGCUCGAAAGUGUGGGUAUCAAACAGGAUUAGAUACCCUGGUAGUCCACACAGUAAACGAUGAAUACUCGCUGUUUGCGAUAUACAGUAAGCGGCCAAGCGAAAGCAUUAAGUAUUCCACCUGGGGAGUACGCCGGCAACGGUGAAACUCAAAGGAAUUGACGGGGGCCCGCACAAGCGGAGGAACAUGUGGUUUAAUUCGAUGAUACGCGAGGAACCUUACCCGGGCUUAAAUUGCAGUGGAAUGAUGUGGAAACAUGUCAGUGAGCAAUCACCGCUGUGAAGGUGCUGCAUGGUUGUCGUCAGCUCGUGCCGUGAGGUGUCGGCUUAAGUGCCAUAACGAGCGCAACCCUUAUCUUUAGUUACUAACAGGUUAUGCUGAGGACUCUAGAGAGACUGCCGUCGUAAGAUGUGAGGAAGGUGGGGAUGACGUCAAAUCAGCACGGCCCUUACGUCCGGGGCUACACACGUGUUACAAUGGGGGGUACAGAAGGCAGCUAGCGGGUGACCGUAUGCUAAUCCCAAAAUCCUCUCUCAGUUCGGAUCGAAGUCUGCAACCCGACUUCGUGAAGCUGGAUUCGCUAGUAAUCGCGCAUCAGCCACGGCGCGGUGAAUACGUUCCCGGGCCUUGUACACACCGCCCGUCAAGCCAUGGGAGCCGGGGGUACCUGAAGUACGUAACCGCAAGGAUCGUCCUAGGGUAAAAC